GACGAACGCUGGCGGCGUGCUUAACACAUGCAAGUCGAGCGGAAAGGCCCUUCGGGUACGUCGAGCGGCGAACGGGUGAGUAACACGUGAGUAAUCUGCCUCUAGCUCUGGGAUAGCUCCGGGAAACCGGGAUUAAUACCGGAUACGACCACUCAAGACAUCUUCUGUGGUGGAAAGAAUUUCGGCUAGAGAUGAGCUCGCGGCCUACCAGCUUGUUGGUGGG
Molecule: ribosomal RNA, 223 nt
Filed under: uncultured bacterium
Lineage: Bacteria
Description: partial 16S ribosomal RNA
Rfam family: Bacterial small subunit ribosomal RNA
Source: RNAcentral